This is an RNA transcript of Salvia splendens (bonfire salvia), 1334 nucleotides long. RefSeq lists it as uncharacterized. The transcript is spliced from 2 exons. Lineage: Eukaryota; Viridiplantae; Streptophyta; Magnoliopsida; Lamiales; Lamiaceae. The record is from RefSeq and is a predicted model, not a curated record.
UAAUUCAAUCAACGAAAUCAUAAUUAUUGUCUUUUAUCUUUAUUUAGUUUUUCCGUUUAGAAUUUCCGAUUGUCGACAGAGCAUAGUUUCUCUGCGACUUUCUUUAUCUUUUUUCACUUGAUAAGGGUCUUUCCCUUAUCGCCGGGACCAUGGACGCCGUUGGAGGGCUUGCAGAGUUCUGGGGAAACACUUGCAGAGCAGAUCUCGGGAGUACCUUGUUUUCCCUCAACAUCUCCGAUGUUGCCAUCAACACUGCUGUCGGGGUAGAUGUGAGCGAUGAAAUUGAACAGAGUGAAGGAUCUCAAGACGAGGCAUGUGAGAUGUCGCUUGCAGAGUCAAGGCCGUGGCCGCUGAACCCCGCUCUACAGACAACUCCACCCUUCCUCAACCAGCAGCCUGUUGCUGCCUCCGAUGGGCAUCCACCGAGCCUCUACUCAGCACCUAGCAACCCUAAAUUCAGUUAUGACUCCCUAGAACUAAUUGCUGAUGUUACUGGUGCAUCAAAAAAACCUUGCCCAAUAACUACAAUUGAUCAACUACUUGACCGAGAUCACGUUGGAGCGGAAUGGGUAUUUUUAGAUGAUGAAGAGAAGGUUGGAAUUUUGACAGUAGCGCUAGAGUGCAUGCCAACUGGACCGGAUUACUGGGCGACAACCUACAUUUCUGAUGUCAAUGCACUUAUGAUUUAUUGUCCACGACGACUGAGAUGCUCAACUGUUUGAUGUGCAUUUGAUCCAGGAGGGAAUAGCCCGCCAAAGUGUAUGUUCGCGAUGCUUUUCAUUGUGUUGUGGGUCCCACCUUGAGGACAAGGUGGAUUUUAACCGUGGAGGAGUUGAUACGAGUAUAUCUUCGGAAAUAUCUCUCAUAUCUUUAUUAUUAUAUUAUCAUAUCUUUUCCAUAUAAUUGUUAUCUUAUUCACCAAGUUAGGUUAUUCAUAGGAGUAUUAUAAAUAGGACCUAUUGUUAUUCUCAUAAUUCAAUCAAUGAAAUCAUAAUUAUUGUCUUUUAUCUUUAUUUAGUUUUUCCGUUUAUAAUUUCCGAUUGUCGACAGGGCACGGUUUCUCUGCGACUUUCUUUAUCUUUUUCACUUGAUAAGGGUCUUUCCCUUAUCAUUGUAGCUGUCCUUGAUGGUGAAGGUGGCAAUGAGUACAGAAGGCAACUACUACCAUCAUACAAAACAAAUAGGAAAAAGAUGUUGCAGCAAUUCCCAGCUGCUGAAAGGUCUAUAACGGCUUCUAUUGGAAGAUCGAAGAAACUAGUCAUGGACGUUCUAUGUUCCGGUGAAUACUUUUAGAGUAAGAAUGAAAAGUAUUGAAUUCUGACUUUUACAAGAUA